Falco peregrinus (peregrine falcon) is the source of this 800-nucleotide long non-coding RNA. RefSeq lists it as uncharacterized. The record is from RefSeq and is a predicted model, not a curated record. Lineage: Eukaryota; Metazoa; Chordata; Aves; Falconiformes; Falconidae. The transcript is spliced from 3 exons.
CCUAAACCCGCUUACUCUCACUUCGUAUGUUAAUUAGUUUAUCAAUCCUUUGCCUGGAAUGUGGUGGUCUUGCAGGUUUGUAGGUGAUUCAUGUCCUUGUGACCAUCUGAUCUUCUCCAGCAAGAAGACUUAGCACUCCCUCCCUCUAGAUAGCAUUGGAAUGUCUCUCAUCCUUUUCUCAUUCUUUUUUAAAUAGCCCCUUUGUUAGAGGAAGAGGGGCAGGUGUCUCCUCAAAACUGUAGUUGUCUCCUCAGAGCUGUGUGCCUAUGUGACCAGACACCGCACCCAUGACCAGUCACCAUACCCACAUUCCUUGAGCAGACACAUACAAUCACAAUCGAUGUCCAUUGUCCCCAUUUCACACUAUUUCUCCGUAUCAGUGGCAAAACAGGAAUGUGUGGAUAAAUAACAUCACUAAUCGGCAAAUGAAACAAAAGAUUACUGUAAGGAAGAAUGACUGUUUGAAAAUGGAGAAUGAAAACACGAUAGAAGAAAAAGACAAAAAGAGUUUUUCAUCUGGGGGAAGCUCAAAAUUGAUUAAAAUGCCAAUGAAAUGUAAAAUUGCCCUGAAUGCCAAAGGUGCAAAGAAAAGUAAAAGACAGCCUUCAAAGCAGAAGGCUCAUCAGCAGAUGAGCUCUUCCAGUGGCAAUCAUGGUCAAGUACCGGAUGAUAGCACUUCCAGUGAAAUAUCUGAGGAUGAAGGAAGGUCAGCAGACAAAUGGAAGUAACUGAUGGCCCUGGUUUAACUCACUCAUCUGACCCAACUUCAGAGGAUGUCCGGUUACAAGCUUCAACCUGCA